GGUUGAUCCUGCCAGUAGUCAUAUGCUUGUCUCAAAGAUUAAGCCAUGCAUGUCUAAGUAUAAGCUUGUUUAUACGGCGAGACUGCGGAUGGCUCAUUAAAUCAGUUAUAGUUUAUUUGAUGGUCUAGUAAUCGUAAAACAAUUACCCUACUUGGAUAACCGUGGUAAUUCUAGAGCUAAUACAUGCGCAAGGUCCCGAGCGCGGGGCCGGGUCGGGUCAAACCGGUCCGGUCCGCAUGUGCAGAGGGAUGUAUUUAUUAGGUUAAAAACCAGCACAUUCAAUCAAUCGA
RNAcentral lists this ribosomal RNA (290 nucleotides) under uncultured eukaryote. RNAcentral's name for it is "partial 18S ribosomal RNA". It matches the Rfam family "Eukaryotic small subunit ribosomal RNA", at positions 6 to 237 of the family's 1831-position model. The record is from RNAcentral.